AUACCGAAAUUUAGGUGGGGAACAAUGUGAAAUUCAUUGGCUGUUCCUGCAACGGUGUGAACGAAAGUUUAAGUCCGAGCGCCACCCGGUAU
This 92-nucleotide non-coding RNA is filed under the name unclassified sequences. The record is from Rfam.